This 244-nucleotide long non-coding RNA is filed under the name Mytilus galloprovincialis (Mediterranean mussel). Lineage: Eukaryota; Metazoa; Mollusca; Bivalvia; Mytilida; Mytilidae. The record is from RNAcentral.
GUGUGAGUGCCAAUGAGACAACUCUCCAUCCAAAUAACAAUUUAAAAAUUAAACCAUUAUAGGUUAAAGUACGGCCUUCAACACGGAGCCUAGGCUCACACCGAACAACAAGCUAUAAAGGGCCCCAACAUUACUAGUGUAAAACCAUUCAAACGGGAAAACCAACGGUCUAAUCUAUAUAACCAAAACGAGAAACGAGAAACACGUAUAUAUUACAUAAAAAAACGACAACUACUGUACAUCA